Molecule: ribosomal RNA, 301 nt
Filed under: uncultured bacterium
Lineage: Bacteria
Description: partial 16S ribosomal RNA
Rfam family: Bacterial small subunit ribosomal RNA
Source: RNAcentral
CAGUAGCCGCGGUAAUACAGAGGCCUCAAGCGUUGUUCGGAUUCAUUGGGCGUAAAGGGAGCGUAGGCGGUCGGGUAAGUCGGAUGUGAAAUCCUGGGGCUCAACCUCAGAACUGCAUUCGAUACUGCUUGGCUAGAGGACUGGAGAGGUGAGUGGAAUUCACGGUGUAGCAGUGAAAUGCGUAGAUAUCGUGAGGAAGACCAGCGGCGAAGGCGGCUCACUGGACAGUUUCUGACGCUGAUGCUCGAAGGCCAGGGGAGCAAACGGGAUUAGAUACCCCGGUAGUCCCUGUCUCUUAUAA